AUUUGAACAAUGUAUUUUUUUUAUUUAUAUUGCAAUAAAAAUAUUAAAUUGAUCAGAGGUAGUACAAAUAAAUGCCUAUUAAUUUUUAAAACCCCAUAGUUGAAUAUCAGUUUAUUAAUUUUUAAAAUCCAUAAUUCUGAUGGGGCUUUCUUUGGGAACACGAGUCGAGCGGACGCAAGCGGUCUUAUCCGUGAUGCUGAUGGUCGGUGGCUGAGUAGGUUUGCUUAUAAUUUGGGCAUUGCUUCAGCAGUUAUUGCUAAAUCAUGGGGUCUUAAAUCUGAUCUGGAGUUGGCUUGGGCGCUUAGAUAUAGGUUCCUUAUUGGCGGAGGCUGAUUAAGAGAUUGUACGACGACUCAUUUUAUUCCAUGGAGACUGAAAUCCUCGUCUUCAAGGUGGCAGAUCCCGUUGUACUGCACAUUCACAGAAGCGGGGCGAGGCGGUGCAUUUCAUGGUGUCAAACAAUGACUAUAGAGUUUGGGACUUUGAUAUGGAGAGAUUUACGCUUUGCAAGCAUUUUGAGUAUCCUUGGCCAGUAAAUUGCAGUUGUUUGGAUGGGCCUGUCUCAUUUAAUAGGCUUCAGGAUGGAUUCGAAGAGCAGGAGGAGAUCGACUUCUUUGGGGAGAUCUCUGGUAUAUCAUUUAGCCCUGGCACUGAGUCCCUUACCUAUGGUAGCCUGCUUCAGCACCACUGACGCAGAAACCACUCGAAUCUUGACUCUGUGUUGUGAAAUGUCCUUAUCAAAUGUGCGCAAUGGGGAUUGAUCCUUUAGGUGGUGUACAUUCGGAUAGGGACAGUUGCCCCUUUUCAUAAAUGUUAAGAAUGGGGAUGAUAUGCUCAUGGCUUAUCAUCAAUUUUUGCUGCCUUGUGGUGCUUCGGGGUUUCAAUAAUGCCUUUAUCAUUCAGAGAGCGGAAGACGGUUGUUUCAUGAGUCAUAAAUCAUGGAGAUUGUGUAUAUGCUAACUGAUCUAUGAGUUAGGUGACGAGGUUAUGGAACUUUGUAACUGUACUUCUAGCCUUUUGAUUGUGGAGAUGUGAAUAAGGAGUUUUGUUUCUUUAA
Punica granatum (pomegranate) is the source of this 1057-nucleotide non-coding RNA. Lineage: Eukaryota; Viridiplantae; Streptophyta; Magnoliopsida; Myrtales; Lythraceae. The record is from RefSeq and is a predicted model, not a curated record.